CUGAGUUUUUUCUCUCCUCUUUUGUAAUAUCUCCCUUUGUAUAUCUGGUGGUAUAUCAAUCUAUCAAGCCAUCCAGCUUCCCUCUUGAAUAAUUGUACCACUUGUGUGCUUGCUUCCAUUUAGUGCUAUUAGCGAUGGUGGGUUUUUCGACGACCCCCUGGGAGAAAGCCAGGACCGCGGGUCUCUUGCUCUUUGGGCUCUCCCUUUUCAUGGUCGGUGUCCACCUCUCUUACCGCAACAUGGGCCCCGAAUAAGCCCGCAUCAAAGCUCGAUCCGACCUCCUCAGAGAACACCUCAAGAAAAGUAUGGAAAAUGAUCUCCUACUCUCGUUCUCUCCCUAACUUCCAGUGUGUUACUGGUCUAUUGUACCCUUUCUCUUUCAUCGCCUCUUCUUCUCCUUGCCUUUCCUGUUUGAACCUUUGUGGCAAUUGAGCUUCUUCUCUCUCAUCGUCCUCAUUAUCUUUCUCCAAGUCUCUCUCUCUCUCCCGCUCUCCCCUAAUAACGUUGGUUUCCUCCCUUUUAUCUCUCAUCUCCUGCUCAUCACUUUUUCCUUUUCUCCCCAUCUGAGCAUUGUUGCAAAUUGGUUGUUUAACUGCCUCACCUCACUCAAUCACUCUCUCUCCUAAUCUCUUAGGUCACUGGUCCCUGCUCCCCACUAUCUCGUCUCUGACUAAUGUCUUCUUUCUGCAUUCGAGCAUUAUUGCAAACUGAUAGAUCAACUAUUGCCGCUGCUUCUCUUAUCCCUCUUAAUUUUUAGCUCUCUCUCUCUCUCUAAAUUUGGGAUUCUCUCUCACCCCACUUAAUCUUCACUCUCUCUCCCCCUCUCUUUAAAUUUGAGAAUGGCGUUGGUGCCUGCUGCUGAUCCUGUGGUAGCUGAGGUGGAUAUGGGUUCCUAUAGUCAGUGCCUGCCACUGUCGUCCAAGCUGCCACUGUCUUCUAUGACACUCCUGCUACACUGAUAAAGCGGAGAGAUUAAUUGGAGAUGCUGCCACUUAUGGGGCACAGCAGGUUGUUUUUCCUGAGGCUUUCAUUGGUGGCUAUCCCCGUGGUUCUAACUUUGGAGUGGCCAUCGGUACAGUAGCCGAUCAGCAAAGGGAAAGAGGAGUUUCGAAAAUAUCAUGCAUCAGCCAUUGAUGUACCAGGCAAACUCCUUUAGUCCCUUUACAUCAAGUGUAUCUCUGUGUCAUCGAAAAUUUCACUUUUAAUUGGAUAAGUUAUAUAUGUUUUCAACGUUAGUUGACUUGCAUAUGUAACAAAUUUCCAAAUUUACAACCCUUUGAUAAGAAAAUAACUUGGAAUAGAGGCCAAUGGACUUUGAAGUUUCUACUUUUUCAUUUCUAUUGCAACAUAUGUCACAUGCAGUUGGUAUUUUGUUGAAAAAUGUGAAGUUGUUAGGUUAUAAUAUGUCCAAGAUUUGUGUAUUUUAAUGUUUUAAUCAUUGUAACGUUAGAAGUUACCCUUGAUUAA
Non-coding RNA from Amborella trichopoda, 1467 nucleotides. The record is from RefSeq and is a predicted model, not a curated record. NCBI's taxonomy places the organism in Eukaryota, Viridiplantae, Streptophyta, Magnoliopsida, Amborellales, Amborellaceae.